RNAcentral lists this unclassified non-coding RNA (1023 nucleotides) under Hevea brasiliensis (rubber tree). The record is from RNAcentral. Lineage: Eukaryota; Viridiplantae; Streptophyta; Magnoliopsida; Malpighiales; Euphorbiaceae.
AAAGAAAGAUUUCAGCCACCCACAAGUGCGCCUCAUACUCAGUUAUCCACAUGUGAUUCCACCCUUUCUAGACUUGUCCUAGACAUUGGCUGCAAUCUAAAGAUUUUGUAUCAAAUCAAAGGGCAAAAACUCUCUUGUGCGUAGAAGCUUGGGCUCUUCAUGGGUUAUGUUUGAAAUGUUUAUAGAAUUAUUGUGGAGAAUUUAGCAGUACUUACUUGAGCUUCAUUGGUUAAAAAUUAGAAUACUAAAUUAAGGUUGCUAGAAGGUUAUGAUAAAAAUGGCAAAAUUUUUUUGCAUGUUGGAUUGUUGUGUUUUAAAGAUAGAUUCAUUUAUGCUGUUUGUCAAGAGAAAAAGAUGUUCUAUGGCAUGAAAUGGCUGUUGUGUAAAAGUCCUACAUCCAGGAAAAGAAUUGUGAUAAUUCAACCUUCAGUAUUUCUAUUACGAUAGGCCAUACAUAUUUCUGAUUAAAUAGGAUGUAGGGAUGGCACCAUUUUUCUUUACCAGAUCCAGAAUCAACUUCUUUUAUACCCUCCUGUAUUGAUGUUUAGAAUGCCAGAGUUUUGCCCUUCUUGUCAUUAGUUCACUUCACUUUCUGACUUUAAUAUCCCGCUAGUUUGCUUUCUCUAUUUACGAUAUAUAUGCCAUGGGAUUUAAUAUCACCUAUCUGCAAACCAUUCUAUUUCUUUAAUUAUCAAAAUUUUAAAUGUUUUAUCCAGAGCAAUUUGGGCCACAUGUGUUUACUGUUUUUGUUAUGUGGGUGUAUUCUGUUUAAGAAUUUACAUCGAAAACCAGCAGGGUACAGAAACCUUAGUGAACAGUGAAACAUACUCGGCAUUGCACGAUUGUCUUGCUUCUGAUUGUAUAUAAAAUUAAUUUCUGGUUCUUAUGGGUUGAAGCAAUAGAUUAAUAGUUCAUCCACAUAACAUUAGCAAGAUAAUGCUCUGCAGUAUUGUGCUAUUGCAACUCUAUUUUAGCAUUAAUAAUUUUCUUCAUUUGGCUAGGCAAAAUUCCAUCAGAAGGAUU